This 253-nucleotide ribosomal RNA is filed under the name uncultured bacterium. RNAcentral describes it as "partial 16S ribosomal RNA". It matches the Rfam family "Bacterial small subunit ribosomal RNA", at positions 524 to 776 of the family's 1533-position model. The record is from RNAcentral.
GACAGAGGUGCCAAGCGUUAGGCGGAAUCACUGGGCUUAAAGCGUGUGUAGGCGGAUGUCUAAGUACCUUGUGAAAUCCCACGGCUCAACCGUGGAACUGCUUGGUAUACUGGAUGUCUUGAGCCAUCUAGGGGCUACCGGAACAAAUGGUGGAGCGGUGAAAUGCGUAGAUAUCAUUUGGAACGCCAAUGGUGAAAACAGGUAGCUGGGGAUGUGCUGACGCUGAGAUACGAAAGCCAGGGGAGCAAACGGG